GAUGAAGAACGCAGCGAAAUGCGAUACUUGGUGUGAAUUGCAGAAUCCCGUGAACCAUCGAGUCUUUGAACGCAAGUUGCGCCUCAAGCCAUUAGGUUGAGGGCACGUCUGCCUGGGCGUCACAUAUCGUUGCCUGAUGCCAGUUUCCUCGUGAUGGGUGACUGUGCAGGGCGAAUGAUGGCUUCCCGUGAGCAUUGUUGCCUCAUGGUUGGUUGAAAAUUGAGUCCUUGGUAGGGAGCGCCGUGAUAGAUGGUGGUUGAGUGACGAACGAGACCCAAUCAUGUGAGACCCCUACCGAAUUUGGCCUUCAUGACCCACAUGCGUCUUUGGAACGCUCAUGACGAGACCUCAGGUCGGGCGGGGCUACCCGCUGAGUUUAAGCAUAUCAAUAAGCGGAGGA
Molecule: unclassified non-coding RNA, 400 nt
Filed under: soil metagenome
Description: partial contains 5.8S ribosomal RNA, internal transcribed spacer 2, and large subunit ribosomal RNA
Rfam family: 5.8S ribosomal RNA (bases 1-122)
Source: RNAcentral